UCGGCUAUAGUUGCCGCUUCAUAUAGCAUUGAAAUGCUAACUUGUAAAAUAUGAGUAAUGACUCUAGUUUAAUCUUUUCUAAUCCUUUAUAAGUGAAAAGUAAACAUGCCCAAGAGUCUAAAUUGACUUUCCGACAGGUCGACGACGCGCUAAUUACGGUAGAGGCCGUUCUAGUUCUAUUUGCAAGGAGUCGCGAGAGAAAACUGUCGACGCUUUUCGAGACCCUGAUCUUAGUUGAUUGACACCGCUACAGGUUCCAGUGCGAGUUUUGAGGCCGAGGAUCGUGGCAAGGGCCCUGCAGCUUAGCUAGCUGACACCAGAGUUUAGCAAUUACCAUUUUGAGUUCAUGUAUCAUCCAUUUUGAUGUACAGAGACAUGUAAAUGAAUGUAUAAAAGUAUGUAUAUAACUAAAUGUUUUAGUUACAAGUUCAGUUGUGAAAGUUUUAAAUUACAGUGAA
Molecule: long non-coding RNA, 458 nt
Organism: Ananas comosus (pineapple)
Lineage: Eukaryota; Viridiplantae; Streptophyta; Magnoliopsida; Poales; Bromeliaceae
Exons: 2
Source: RefSeq, a predicted model, not a curated record